This is a non-coding RNA of Xyrichtys novacula (pearly razorfish), 529 nucleotides long. The record is from the annotation of a GenBank genome assembly. NCBI's taxonomy places the organism in Eukaryota, Metazoa, Chordata, Actinopteri, Labriformes, Labridae.
AAAUGCAGGUUAAAAAAAUAAAAAGGUACUACACGUCAUGAACUCAUGAUCCCAGUUUUUUAACCAACAAGAGUAUUUCUAACUUCUCUGAGAGUUUUUUUUUUUCAUGUUCCUCCAGAUUAAAUCAGCAGCAGAGAACACAAACCAACAGCAGACCUCCUGGUGGUCCACGGUGUCUCACAGCGAGUCCUCCACCUGAGCAGGAAACAACAGGUCAGCACCUUGACGUCACCCCAGUGUCGACUCUGAGGAGACAUGUGGGGUUUGUUGAAACCCUUUUGGGAGGAGCUGUAAAGUCAGAUUAAGAUGGUUAAACAUCGAGGCCGAUGACAUUAUGUGGCACAAAACAAACCCAAGAGUCUCAGCUGGAGUCCGUACUCAAGGUCUGGAAUAAAACCCACAUUCAGAUUCAGAGAUCAAGUACACAACAGAUCUGGAUCCUGUGUAGAUCCUGGUCCAAAGUGCACCUCAACAAACGUUGGAUAGGCAGAUCUGUUUGUUCUUCUUCUUCCUUUAUCAGACUGUAAAC